GCCGAGGUAGCUCAGUUGGUAGAGCAGGGGACUGAAAAUCCCCGUGUGGGCAGUUCAAUCCUGUCCCUCGGCACCA
This 76-nucleotide transfer RNA is filed under the name Mailhella sp. RNAcentral's name for it is "tRNA-Phe". It matches the Rfam family "tRNA". Rfam says of the family: Transfer RNA (tRNA) molecules are approximately 80 nucleotides in length. Their secondary structure includes four short double-helical elements and three loops (D, anti-codon, and T loops). The record is from RNAcentral. Lineage: Bacteria; Pseudomonadati; Thermodesulfobacteriota; Desulfovibrionia; Desulfovibrionales; Desulfovibrionaceae. RNAcentral also lists the same sequence under 2 other names.